Varroa destructor (honeybee mite) is the source of this 1036-nucleotide long non-coding RNA. RefSeq lists it as uncharacterized. The record is from RefSeq and is a predicted model, not a curated record. NCBI's taxonomy places the organism in Eukaryota, Metazoa, Arthropoda, Arachnida, Mesostigmata, Varroidae.
ACAUGCGAUAUUCGACACACGCUUCCAACCUGAGCUGCUCAGCCAUUCGUCCGCCCGGCGUAUGCAUCAAAGUAUACAAGGCGUACUGAGAACAAGUAGAAGAAAGAAGGAAACACAGAAGAUACUUCAAACUUCGAUCCAGAUUGUACCGCGUGGUUCAGCAGAUCCAAGCUCAGAGCUAUUUAACAUUAGCCGGAUCCAGUAUUAACUUGAGUGAUAUGGGGAAGCACGAGCAAAUCACUGGGCCAUUCCACGUACAGACUUCUCGCUUCAGUGAAAUCUCUAUGAAUGUACGGCAGCUACCACAAGCGUAUAUCUGUAGUGAUAAGCCCAAAUAUAAGCAGAUGAUUGGAGCGAAACACCGAAAAAGCAAAUGGUUAGCAAUAUAGCGCCACUAUGUUACCCAUAGAAGCACCACCAUGAGUGGUACAAAUGUAUUGUUGUUGCAGGAAGCUUCAGUGAUGCACAAUGAGAGGUUUCUAUUUGUUGCGGCCAACGUUUAUUCCUGUUUUACGCUUGUCUUGCCAACAAUUCCGUGCAGUGUUUAUAAUGGAAGUUUUACAAGCUGGCCCAGCCGAAUGCGUUGUGUUGAAGGACACGCUUGUACUAGUAUGCAGGAUAGCCUAAAUUGCAGUUCCCUAAUAUCACACUGUUCUAGCAAGCCGCUUUGCAUUUAUUAUUAUUUUGUAACAAUUCACUCAAUGGAUUGCUUACAGACUAGCUUUUUGAGACCAUAUUCUAUAAACGUAAUAUUGGACGGAACCAAAUGGGCUACCAUAUAUAAGACGUUAUGGCAAAACGUAUCUCCAAUUGGUCGAAAUUUUAACAAGUUCAUGCACUACGAAUCAUGUUUUUUACAUUCAAAUAAACGGUACUUUAAACUACUGGAAAUUGGAAAAACAGCAUGCUAAAUAAUAACGGAAAGCGGCCAGACUUUUCCAGUUAUAAUAAGAUGGAUCACGUUUAUAAACCUUGUACCUGGUUGUAGCAUCUGGUUUUAGUUUUCCAUAAGUUUGGGUGCUUAUGUUGAAGUAAA